AUGGCUCUACCAGCUGAUUACUGUCGUCUGUAUUGACCGCCAUAUUCGAAUUUGGCAAGAAGUUUCUCUCGGUCUGUACGGUGUAUAAGGAAUUAAGUAUUAUCGAAAUGGUGAUUUCUUGUUCCGCUUUCAAUUGUACGAAGCGAUGGAGUAAGGAAAGUGACUUACCAUUUCACAGGUAAUAGGACUACCGAUACAAUACGAUAAAAAUACAGACUUAGUGCGUUUGCUAAUGCGAUGUUUUUGAACAGGUUUCUCCUAAAGCACCCAGAGCUGCUAAAGAAGUGUAUUACUUCCGUGAAGCGGAAAGGUUUUAAUCCUACGUCUUGCAGUUCUCUUUGCGGAAACCAUUUGCGACAAGAUGAUUACGUAGUGAGCCCUAGAACGUGGAAGAAACGUCUCAAACCCGAAGCAGUGCCAUCAGUUUUUGACUUUCCGGCUCAUUUGAUACCACCAAAUAAACAGCGACGAUGACAUGUUGUUAGGAUUUUGAGUGACAACGAAUGCUUCUCCAUUUGAGCGUUCUGUCAUAGAAUCUGUGCUCGAUUUGCCAGCUGCAGAACCUACUGAUUGCGUGGAGAAUGUUGUCAAUGAGAAUUCUUCCGUGGAAAGCAUGUCCCAAUUAUCCAAUGCAGAAGCUGCGAAUUGUGUCAAAAACAGUGCAGUUGGUUCUUCAGUAAUUGAUUGUGGUAUACAGUCGAAAGUAGAAAUGGAAGACAAGGCGACCGAAACUUGCAAUUUUUUCUCAGACAUUGUGCACGAAUUAAAACGUAAACUGAAGUGCGUCUGUGAAAAACUUCGAAGAAGA
Long non-coding RNA from Schistocerca nitens (vagrant locust), 808 nucleotides. RefSeq lists it as uncharacterized. The record is from RefSeq and is a predicted model, not a curated record. Lineage: Eukaryota; Metazoa; Arthropoda; Insecta; Orthoptera; Acrididae. The transcript has 3 exons.